This 428-nucleotide ribosomal RNA is filed under the name Pseudomonadota bacterium. Its description in RNAcentral is "Proteobacteria bacterium partial 16S ribosomal RNA". It matches the Rfam family "Bacterial small subunit ribosomal RNA", at positions 355 to 776 of the family's 1533-position model. The record is from RNAcentral. Lineage: Bacteria; Pseudomonadati; Pseudomonadota.
UGGGGAAUAUUGGACAAUGGGCGAAAGCCUGAUCCAGCCAUGCCGCGUGUGUGAAGAAGGUCUUCGGAUUGUAAAGCACUUUAAGUUGGGAGGAAGGGCAGUAAGCGAAUACCUUGCUGUUUUGACGUUACCGACAGAAUAAGCACCGGCUAACUCUGUGCCAGCAGCCGCGGUAAUACAGAGGGUGCAAGCGUUAAUCGGAAUUACUGGGCGUAAAGCGCGCGUAGGUGGUUCGUUAAGUUGAAUGUGAAAGCCCCGGGCUCAACCUGGGAACUGCAUCCAAAACUGGCGAGCUAGAGUAGGGCAGAGGUGGUGGAAUUUCCUGUGUAGCGGUGAAAUGCGUAGAUAUAGGAAGGAACACCAGUGGCGAAGGCGACCACCUGGGCUCAUACUGACACUGAGGUGCGAAAGCGUGGGGAGCAAACAGG